This 497-nucleotide ribosomal RNA is filed under the name uncultured bacterium. RNAcentral's name for it is "partial 16S ribosomal RNA". It matches the Rfam family "Bacterial small subunit ribosomal RNA", at positions 28 to 507 of the family's 1533-position model. The record is from RNAcentral.
GAUGAACGCUGGCGGCGUGCCUAAUACAUGCAAGUCGAGCGAACAGACGAGGAGCUUGCCCCUCUGACGUUAGCGGCGGACGGGUGAGUAACACGUGGAUAACCUACCUAUAAGACUGGGAUAACUUCGGGAAACCGGAGCUAAUACCGGAUAAUAUAUUGAACCGCAUGGUUCAAUAGUGAAAGACGGUUUUGCUGUCACUUAUAGAUGGAUCCGCGCCGCAUUAGCUAGUUGGUAAGGUAACGGCUUACCAAGGCAACGAUGCGUAACCGACCUGAGAGGGUGAUCGGCCACACUGGAACUGAGACACGGUCCAGACUCCUACGGGAGGCAGCAGUAGGGAAUCUUCCGCAAUGGGCGAAAGCCUGACGGAGCAACGCCGCGUGAGUGAUGAAGGUCUUCGGAUCGUAAAACUCUGUUAUUAGGGAAGAACAAAUGUGUAAGUAACUAUGCACGUCUUGACGGUACCUAAUCAGAAAGCCACGGCUAACUACGUG